Molecule: long non-coding RNA, 666 nt
Organism: Symphalangus syndactylus (siamang)
Lineage: Eukaryota; Metazoa; Chordata; Mammalia; Primates; Hylobatidae
Source: RefSeq, a predicted model, not a curated record
UUGUUCAUUCACAAACACCAUUGUUUCUUCGAGCUUCACUUACAAAAUGCAAGUUUAAGAUAACAUUAUUAUGAAUUUCAAGAUGAUGACCACAGAUCAUUAAACCAACCAUGAGACCCUUCUGACCGUGGGACUCUGUGUGACUGUGCAUAUCAUGCACCCUUGAAGCCAGCUCUGCAUGUCACCAAGGAUGCAAAGGAGAAUGCUGGGGAGAUAACAGUGGAAGGAUACACCACCACCACCACCAUCAUCCUGCCAUCUAAUAUCCCAUUAGAAGGAUAGCCACAUUUCCCCCUGGCCUGGUAAAUCAUUCAGCCCGUUCACUUGGACAAAGUACUUAAUCCAGAGUGAGACCAUGCAAGCAAGGACAAUUAUAAUUCUUCCCUGAAAUGAAUACAGCAUAAGGAAGUUGGAAGAGAGUAACUCCCUUUACUGCUGGGUUGCCAAGCCUGGAAGAUGUCAAGUUGGUGCUGCUGGCUGCUAUCUUUCCUGCCAUCUGAGAGACGGCAUGUCUUCAGUUAAAAAGAAUAAAGCUGAACAGAGAUGAGAGAUAGAGAGCUGAAGGACUAAGCUAUUGGUUCCUAGAAACUUCCAUUCUGUUCUGUGAAUUAUUUAUGUAUCUUUUCUUCCCCUAUGGAGCAAUAAAAUUAAACUUUCUUAAGCUUA